CGGGCCGGUAGUUUNAUUGGGCCUAAAGCAUCCGUAGCCGGCUCUGCAAGUCUUCGGUUAAAUCCACCUGCUCAACAGAUGGGCUGCUGGAGAUACUACAGAGCUAGGGAGUGGGAGAGGCAGACGGUAUUCAGUGGGUAGGGGUAAAAUCCUCUGAUCCAUUGAGGACCACCAGUGGCGAAGGCGGUCUGCCAGAACACGUUCGACGGUGAGGGAUGAAAGCUGGGGGAGCAAACCGGAUUAGAUACCCGGGUAGUCCCAGCUGUAAACGAUGCAAACUCGGUGAUGCAUUGGCUUAUGGCCAAUGCAGUGCCGCAGGGAAGCCGUUAAGUUUGCCGCCUGGGAAGUACGGACGCAAGUCUGAAACUUAAAGGAAUUGCGGGGGGGAGCACAA
RNAcentral lists this ribosomal RNA (394 nucleotides) under uncultured archaeon. Its description in RNAcentral is "bacterial SSU rRNA". It matches the Rfam family "Archaeal small subunit ribosomal RNA", at positions 488 to 881 of the family's 1478-position model. The record is from RNAcentral.